UUAGUAACGGCGAGUGAAGCGGUAACAGCUCAAAUUUGAAAUCUGGGUCUUUUAGGCUCCGAGUUGUAAUUUGUAGAAGAUGCUUUGGGUGCGGCCCCGGUCUAAGUUCCUUGGAACAGGACGUCAUAGAGGGUGAGAAUCCCGUAUGUGAUCGGUGGCUUGCGCCCGUGUAAAGCUCUUUCGACGAGUCGGGUUGUUUGGGAAUGCAGCUCUAAAUGGGUGGUAAAUUUCAUCUAAAGCUAAAUAUUGGCCAGAGACCGAUAGCGCACAAGUAGAGUGAUCGAAAGAUGAAAAGCACUUUGGAAAGAGAGUUAAACAGUACGUGAAAUUGUUGAAAGGGAAGCGCUUGCAACCAGACUUGCGCGGGGUUGAUCAUCCGGGGUUCUCCCCGGUGCACUCGGCCUCGCUCAGGCCAGCAUCGGUUUUGGUGGUUGGAUAAAGGCCUUGGGAAUGUGACUUCUUUCGGGGAGUGUUAUAGCCCUCGGUGCAAUGCAGCCUACCGGGACCGAGGACCGCGCUUCGGCUAGGAUGCUGGCGUAAUGGUUGUAAGCGACCCGUCUUGAAACACGGACCAAGGAGUCUAACAUCUAUGCGAGUGUUUGGGUGUCAAACCCAUACGCGUAAUGAAAGUGAACGGAGGUGAGAACCCUUAAGGGUGCAUCAUCGACCGAUCCUGAUGUCUUCGGAUGGAUUUGAGUAAGAGCAUAGCUGUUGGGACCCGAAAGAUGGUGAACUAUGCCUGAAUAGGGUGAAGCCAGAGGAAACUCUGGUGGAGGCUCGCAGCGGUUCUGACGUGCAAAUCGAUCGUCAAAUUUGGGCAUAGGGGCGAAAGACUAAUCGAACCAUCUAGUAGCUGGGU
RNAcentral lists this ribosomal RNA (859 nucleotides) under Pezicula cinnamomea. RNAcentral's name for it is "eukaryotic LSU rRNA". It matches the Rfam family "Eukaryotic large subunit ribosomal RNA", at positions 80 to 956 of the family's 3401-position model. Lineage: Eukaryota; Fungi; Ascomycota; Leotiomycetes; Helotiales; Dermateaceae. The record is from RNAcentral.